CUACGGGUUGCUCCAGUGGGGGAUAUUGCACAAUGGGGGAAACCCUGAUGCAGCAACGCCGCGUGAAGGAAGACGGAUUUCGGUCUGUAAACUUCUAUCAGCUGGGAAGAAAAUGACGGUACCAGACUAAGAAGCCCCGGCUAACUACGUGCCAGCAGCCGCGGUAAUACGUAGGGGGCAAGCGUUAUCCGGAUUUACUGGGUGUAAAGGGUACGUAGGCGGUUAUUUAAGUCAGAUGUGAAAGCCCGGAGCUCAACUCCGGGACUGCAUUUGAAACUGGGUAACUAGAGUACAGGAGAGGAAAGCGGAAUUCCUAGUGUAGCGGUGAAAUGCGUAGAUAUUAGGAAGAACACCAGUGGCGAAGGCGGCUUUCUGGACUGUAACUGACGCUGAGGUACGAAAGCGUGGGGAGCGAACAGGAUUAGAUACCCCAGUAGUC
This 439-nucleotide ribosomal RNA is filed under the name uncultured bacterium. RNAcentral's name for it is "partial 16S ribosomal RNA". It matches the Rfam family "Bacterial small subunit ribosomal RNA", at positions 339 to 795 of the family's 1533-position model. The record is from RNAcentral.